AAAAUCCAAAACUAACGGAGGAAGAAAUUCUUUUUCCUUCCGUGGCUUCGUUCGGGUAAAACCGAUUGAAGUUGUUAACAUUCUGUGAACUGUACCUGUCUCUGGCGGUGGGGUGGCUUGAAAACCCACCUGUUCGGGCGUAAGAGAUUACGCUUUGGACAACCCGUCAGCCACUUGUCAUACACAUUUUUUAGUCUUACUCUUGUAUUUUUACCAAUACAAAAAA
RNAcentral lists this unclassified non-coding RNA (226 nucleotides) under uncultured fungus. RNAcentral describes it as "sequence contains ITS1". The record is from RNAcentral. Lineage: Eukaryota; Fungi.